AAGCUUGAUUUCCCAAGCUUCUACCCAUCAAAACCUUUAGCACCCUUCACAAAAAAUACUCCCCACUCCAUAAGGAAGCCAUAGAUACCCAUAAGAAGCAAGAAAGUUGAGGUUUGGGAAGCUCAAGUAAGGUUAGUGCACUAAUCCCUCUUCUUCUCUUUAUUAAACAUGAAAAGCAUGUUUAGCUAAGCAUAAAUACCAUUAAAACAAAAAGAAAAUCUAGAGGAAAGAACCCUUGAAUUUUUGGCAGCCAUGGAACUUGAAAUUUAUUGCUUUUAAGUGAUGAAAAAUGGUUCUAUGAGAAUGUGUAAUUAGUUGAAAUGUUUGGGUGUUUGAUUGUGUAGUGUUUGUGUAAAUUUGAAACUUUGAAAACUAGGGUUUGUGUAAAUGUUGAGAACUUUAUGUAAAAUGUUGAAAUUGAUCUAUUGGGAUGAGAUUGUUGCUUAUAGAAGUGUAUUGCAUGCAAAUUGAAGUAAGGAAGUUGGAGGAGAUUGAGUUUUGGAAGUGUCAAUUUUCUGCAGGUUGUGUUUGUUGAGGGCAGUGUACAUUUUAGGCCAUAAAUAAAAUUGUGUGACCCCAAUUGGUAUGAGGCCAAUUGGA
RNAcentral lists this unclassified non-coding RNA (600 nucleotides) under Hevea brasiliensis (rubber tree). The record is from RNAcentral. Lineage: Eukaryota; Viridiplantae; Streptophyta; Magnoliopsida; Malpighiales; Euphorbiaceae.